AGAGUUUGAUCAUGGCUCAGAUUGAACGCUGACGGUAUGCUUAACACAUGCAAGUCGAACGGCAACACGAGUAAGCUUGCUUACUUGGUGGCAAGUGGCGGACGGGUGAGUAAUACGUAGGAAUCUGCCCUAAAGUGGGGGACAACCCGGGGAAACUCGGGCUAAUACCGCAUAACCUCUUUGGAGCAAAGUCGGGGACCUUCGGGCCUGACGCUUUAGGAUGAGCCUACGUCGGAUUAGCUAGUUGGUAGGGUAAAGGCCUACCAAGGCAACGAUCCGUAGCUGGUCUGAGAGGACGACCAGCCACACUGGGACUGAGAUACGGCCCAGACUCCUACGGGAGGCAGCAGUGGGGAAUAUUGGACAAUGGGGGCAACCCUGAUCCAGCAAUACCGUGUGUGUGAAGAAGGCCUUCGGGUUGUAAAGCACUUUUAGUGGGGAAAAAUGGCUUAAGACUAAUACUCUUAAGAAGUGAUGUUACCCACAGAAAAAGCACCGGCUAACUCUGUGCCAGCAGCCGCGGUAAUACAGAGGGUGCAAGCGUUAAUCGGAAUUACUGGGCGUAAAGCGCUCGUAGGUGGAUAUCUAAGUCGGAUGUGAAAUCCCCGGGCUUAACCUGGGAACUGCAUUCGAGACUGGAUGUCUAGAGUAUGGUAGAGGAAAGUGGAAUUCCCGGUGUAGCGGUGAAAUGCGUAGAUAUCGGGAAGAACACCAGUGGCGAAAGCGGCUUUCUGGACCAAUACUGACACUGAAGGAGCGAAAGCGUGGGAGCAACAGGAUUAGAGACCCU
Molecule: ribosomal RNA, 790 nt
Filed under: uncultured bacterium
Lineage: Bacteria
Description: bacterial SSU rRNA
Rfam family: Bacterial small subunit ribosomal RNA
Source: RNAcentral